UACGUAGGUGGCAAGCGUUGUCCGGAAUUACUGGGUGUAAAGGGAGCGCAGGCGGGAAGCCAAGUCAGCUGUGAAAACUACGGGCUUAACUUGUAGACUGCAGUUGAGACUGGUUUUCUUGAGUGAAGUAGAGGUUGGCGGAAUUCCGAGUGUAGCGGUGAAAUGCGUAGAUAUUCGGAGGAACACCGGUGGCGAAGGCGGCCAACUGGGCUUUAACUGACGCUGAGGCUCGAAAGUGUGGGGAGCAAACAGG
This 253-nucleotide ribosomal RNA is filed under the name uncultured bacterium. RNAcentral's name for it is "partial 16S ribosomal RNA". It matches the Rfam family "Bacterial small subunit ribosomal RNA", at positions 524 to 776 of the family's 1533-position model. The record is from RNAcentral.